RNAcentral lists this ribosomal RNA (321 nucleotides) under Triticum aestivum (bread wheat). Its description in RNAcentral is "partial small subunit ribosomal RNA". The record is from RNAcentral. Lineage: Eukaryota; Viridiplantae; Streptophyta; Magnoliopsida; Poales; Poaceae.
AUGCCCUUCUCCCUUGUAUAUGAGGUAGAAGUAGUUCUCCCCAUAGAACUCGCAUACGGGUCACGUCGAGUACUCGCUUAUGAUGAGCUUGAGCAAGAGCAGUUGCGGCAAGAUGACGCUACGCUCCUUGAGGAAGAUCUUCUUCAGGCUGCUGUGCGAGCUACGCGCUACCAGCAAGCCUUGCGCCGCUACCAUAGCCGCAAGGUUCAUGCCCGAAGCUUUGAGGAAGGCGACCUUGUUCUUCGGCGCGGUCGGUCGGCCAAGAAUUCUAACAAGUUGACGCCAAAGUGGGAAGGCCCUUAUCGGAUAAUACGAGUCACC